UACGUAGGGGGGGAGCGUUGUCCGAAGUUACUGGGCGUAAAGGGCGCGUAGGCGGCGCGGUAAGUCACUUGUGAAAUCUCUGAGCUUAACUCAGAACGGCCAAGUGAUACUGCAGUGCUAGAGUGUGGAAGGGGCAAUCGGAAUUCUUGGUGUAGCGGUGAAAUGCGUAGAUAUCAAGAGGAACACCUGAGGUGAAGACGGGUUGCUGGGCCAACACUGACGCUGAGGCGCGAAAGCCAGGGGAGCAAACGGG
RNAcentral lists this ribosomal RNA (253 nucleotides) under uncultured bacterium. RNAcentral's name for it is "partial 16S ribosomal RNA". It matches the Rfam family "Bacterial small subunit ribosomal RNA", at positions 524 to 776 of the family's 1533-position model. The record is from RNAcentral.